Molecule: ribosomal RNA, 486 nt
Filed under: uncultured bacterium
Lineage: Bacteria
Description: partial 16S ribosomal RNA
Rfam family: Bacterial small subunit ribosomal RNA
Source: RNAcentral
AUUGAACGCUGGCGGCAUGCCUUACACAUGCAAGUCGAACGGCAGCACGGGUGCUUGCACCUGGUGGCGAGUGGCGAACGGGUGAGUAAUGCAUCGGAACAUAUCCUGUAGUGGGGGAUAGCCCGGCGAAAGCCGGAUUAAUACCGCAUACGAUCUACGGAUGAAAGCGGGGGACCUUCGGGCCUCGCGCUAUCGGGUUGGCCGAUGGCUGAUUAGCUAGUUAGUGGGGUAAAGGCCUACCAAGGCGACGAUCAGUAGCUGGUCUGAGAGGACGACCAGCCACACUGGGACUGAGACACGGCCCAGACUCCUACGGGAGGCAGCAGUGGGGAAUUUUGGACAAUGGGCGAAAGCCUGAUCCAGCAAUGCCGCGUGUGUGAAGAAGGCCUUCGGGUUGUAAAGCACUUUUGUCCGGAAAGAAAUCCUUGGCCCUAAUACGGUCGGGGGAUGACGGUACCGGAAGAAUAAGCACCGGCUAACUACGUG